GCGAAUAAAGAAAAUAUUUUUCAUAAUAAUUUGAGAUUAUUAUAUUUUGUGUUUAGUUGUGCAAUGUUCGUU
RNAcentral lists this transfer RNA (72 nucleotides) under Diplorchis hangzhouensis. Its description in RNAcentral is "tRNA-Ser". Lineage: Eukaryota; Metazoa; Platyhelminthes; Monogenea; Polystomatidea; Polystomatidae. The record is from RNAcentral.